GGGUCGGUGGCGUAGUUGGUUAUCGCAUCUGUCUAACAGUGGCUUACAUAAGCCCACAGAAGGUCCUCAGUUCGAACCUGGGCCGACUCA
Polyporus arcularius HHB13444 is the source of this 90-nucleotide non-coding RNA. The record is from the annotation of a GenBank genome assembly. Lineage: Eukaryota; Fungi; Basidiomycota; Agaricomycetes; Polyporales; Polyporaceae.